CAGCGUCACGAGUGGCAAUCAGAUUUAUUGGGUCUAAAGCGUCCGUAGCCGGUUUGAUAAGUCUUUUGUGAAAUUGUCGUGCUUAACAUGACAACGUGCAAGAGAUACUGUCAAACUUGGAACUGGGAGGGGUUAGAGGUAUUCCUUGGGGAGCGGUAAAAUGCUAUAAUCCUUGGAGGACCACCUGUGGCGAAAGCGUCUAACCAGAACAGCUUCGACGGUGAGGGACGAAAGCUAGGGGAGCAAACCGGAUUAGAUACCCGAGUAGUCC
RNAcentral lists this ribosomal RNA (271 nucleotides) under uncultured archaeon. RNAcentral describes it as "partial 16S ribosomal RNA". It matches the Rfam family "Archaeal small subunit ribosomal RNA", at positions 477 to 747 of the family's 1478-position model. The record is from RNAcentral.